This 1745-nucleotide long non-coding RNA is filed under the name Homo sapiens (human). RNAcentral describes it as "non-protein coding lnc-ARF5-17:1". The record is from RNAcentral. Lineage: Eukaryota; Metazoa; Chordata; Mammalia; Primates; Hominidae.
AUCAGUACUGCCAGUAGCAGCUAUCCCAUGGUCUUCACGUAGUUGGGAGACUCACUAAGACGAAGCUCAGUGAAAAUUUCAGGGCUGUGCUGUUUAUUAUGGUCUGCUAUGGUAUGAUCACCCACCACUUCUGGUUUACACCUAUAUCAAAUUCCAACAGCUGCUGAGCCUGAGUAAGUCAUAAAUAUAAUGAACUUUGACAUGACUGAAGGAAAGUUAAUUUGAAUUAUAUCAUCUCAGCAAUACAUCUCCUUGAGAAUUUUAGAAUAAAAACAUCCUCAACAAAUCUAUAGACAACAUGGCAAUUUUAUAUACCUCUUGUGGUUUUCAAAUCAUUCUUCCCUCCAAGGCCAAUUGUGAUGAGGGUGACUCUAUGGGUUAUGUCUUUUAUUCCAUUGAAGGCAAGUUAUCAUAAGGCUAGUUACCAGAGGAAAGUUACCACCAAGGAGAUGAAGAGCAUGUGCUUCAAUGAAUGACUGUGUUAACAGUGUGUUAAUCAGAACAAGUACUAGGAAAAGUGGGAAUUUAAAUGUGGCACAAAGGCCAAGGCAUGCACCAAUGUAAAUUUAGAAAACUGUCGAGAAAAUAUGUAUGGUUACUGCUGGAAAUAAUUCUUCAGCCAAUUUGGUAAAACUCUAAGUGUUAAAGUGAUGAGAGAUCCAAUGGGAAAUCUCUAGAGUUUGGCUGUGAGUUAUAAAGUUCAUAAGAAUGCCAAAAAGGCCAAAGAAAAAAUAAAAGUAAAAUAAAUUAGUUGCAAAAUCAUAUGUGGGGUUGGAUCUAAAGGAAAGUUGAACACAUAGAAAACUGAGUUAAAACAAACUUUUAAGUCCUGAAAAGGCAGAGAAUUAGCCGGUGUAGGAAGCUGAGUCUCAAAAUUAAGGAUCUUGAUAACUCUAUGGAAACAAAAAGUUAAGAAAGGCAUUUUCUGCUUAUAGAUUAAUAACCAGUAUUGGAGGAGAGAAACAUAGCAAUUCAGAUCUGUUUCCCUUCUCCCCCAGCAGAGAGGAUGAAAAUUGGCCAUUGUGUAUACCUCCCCAGACUCACUGUAUACCUCCCCAGAGGAAGUUAGAGAAUAAGAUUGACCUGAUCAACUGGUAUAUUCAGCUAUGGCUGGAAAGAGAGAGUUCCCAGGCAAUCCCAUUAUUAACUGUGCUGGUGGCUACUUUGUGCAGAUUCCCUAUAGGCUCAGAACAGACCUCCAUAUUAUUCCCUGAUAGUCUGAUUCAAAUGAGAUCCCAUAUUUCCUGGUAGGAGAACAUGGUUAACAAGGUGCCGUAUGCCAGUCUGAGCCACACUCUCGACACCUGACCUCUCAACAAAUGGUGCUGCAGCCUCUUGUGGCCUCCCCGUUAUUGCUCACACCAUCAAUCCCUCUGUGGUAUAAAACGGAACCAUCCAGUAUGUGCUCCAAAUCCUAGGCUGUGACUCUGCCUGAUGCCCCCAGCUUGGGAUACAAACUCCACAGACAUCAUAAUCUACAGCUGAAACACAGGUAUAAGAGGCUUUGGACAUUUCCAGGCUGCCUCAGCACUCCUUCAAAAGCAAAAUCAAAGAAUAAGAAAAUGUUUAUCCUGACCAUCCAAACCAUGCAUAUAAGGUUGAAUGGAAAGAUUUGGGAAUAGUGCUGAGAUGAAUGACUUGGAAUUGCUACACCUGCUGGAGUUUAUUCCACUCCAAAAUGUCUUUAUUCCAUCAGGAAGGGAACUGCCCUGGAAAUAGGUGCUGUUACUGGGGCCAUCUCUUAG